AGAGUUUGAUCAUGGCUCAGGACGAACGCUGGCGGUGUGCUUAACACAUGCAAGUGGAGCGACGAACCAGGGCUUGCCCUGGGGCAGAGCCGCGAACGGGUGAGUAACACGUGGAUAACCUACCCCGAUGACUGGGACAACCCGAGGAAACUCGGGCUAAUACCGGAUGUGCUCCUCCCUCACGAGGGGGUUGAGUAAAGGAAGCUUCGGCAUUCGCAUCGGGAGGGGUCCGCGGCCCAUUAGCUUGUUGGUGGGGUAAUGGCCUACCAAGGCAACGAUGGGUAGCUGGUCUGAGAGGACGAUCAGCCACACUGGGACUGAGACACGGCCCAGACUCCUACGGGAGGCAGCAGUGGGGAAUCUUGCGCAAUGCGCGAAAGCGUGACGCAGCAACACCGCGUGGGGGAAGAAGGCCUUCGGGUUGUAAACCCCUUUCAGGAGGGACGAAGGCCGGCCGGUGAAUAGCCGUGCCGGUUGACGGUACCUCCACAAGAAGCCCCGGCUAACUACGUGCCAGCAGCCGCGGUAAUACGUAGGGGGCAAGCGUUGUCCGGAAUCAUUGGGCGUAAAGCGCGCGUAGGCGGCCCGAUAAGUCCGCUGUGAAAGUCAACGGCUCAACUGUUGAAUGUCAGUGGAUACUGUCGGGCUAGAGUUCGGAAGAGGCAAGUGGAAUUCCUGGUGUAGCGGUGGAAUGCGCAGAUAUCAGGAGGAACACCUAUAGCGAAGGCAGCUUGCUGGGACGAUACUGAGCUAANNNNNGAAAGCGUGGGGAGCGAACAGGAUUAGAUACCCUAGUAGUCC
This 801-nucleotide ribosomal RNA is filed under the name uncultured bacterium. RNAcentral's name for it is "bacterial SSU rRNA". It matches the Rfam family "Bacterial small subunit ribosomal RNA", at positions 8 to 796 of the family's 1533-position model. The record is from RNAcentral.